RNAcentral lists this ribosomal RNA (252 nucleotides) under uncultured bacterium. RNAcentral describes it as "partial 16S ribosomal RNA". It matches the Rfam family "Bacterial small subunit ribosomal RNA", at positions 524 to 776 of the family's 1533-position model. The record is from RNAcentral.
UACGGAGGAUGCGAGCGUUAUCCGGAUUUAUUGGGUUUAAAGGGUGCGUAGGCGGGAUGCCAAGUCAGCGGUAAAAAUGCGGUGCUCAACGCCGUCGGGCCGUUGAAACUGGCGUUCUUGAGUGGGCGAGAAGUAUGCGGAAUGCGUGGUGUAGCGGUGAAAUGCAUAGAUAUCACGCAGAACUCCGAUUGCGAAGGCAGCAUACCGGCGCCCUACUGACGCUGAGGCACGAAAGCGUGGGUAUCGAACAGG